RNAcentral lists this transfer RNA (20 nucleotides) under Phocoena phocoena (harbor porpoise). RNAcentral's name for it is "partial tRNA-Thr". Lineage: Eukaryota; Metazoa; Chordata; Mammalia; Artiodactyla; Phocoenidae. The record is from RNAcentral.
CCUCACUCCUCCCUAAGACU